AGUGAACGCUGGCGGUAGGCCUAACACAUGCAAGUCGAACGGCAGCACAGUAAGAGCUUGCUCUUACGGGUGGCGAGUGGCGGACGGGUGAGGAAUACAUCGGAAUCUACUUUUUCGUGGGGGAUAACGUAGGGAAACUUACGCUAAUACCGCAUACGACCUACGGGUGAAAGCAGGGGAUCUUCGGACCUUGCGCGAUUGAAUGAGCCGAUGUCGGAUUAGCUAGUUGGCGGGGUAAAGGCCCACCAAGGCGACGAUCCGUAGCUGGUCUGAGAGGAUGAACAGCCACACGGGAACUGAGAAACGGUCCAGACUCCUACGGGAGGCAGCAGUGGGGAAUAUUGGACAAUGGGCGCAAGCCUGAUCCAGCCAUACCGCGUAGGUGAAGAAGGCCUUCGGGUUGUAAAGCCCUUUUGUUGGGAAAGAAAAGCAGCAGGUUAAUACCCCGCUGUUCUGACGGUACCCAAAGAAUAAGCACCGGCUAACUUCGUG
RNAcentral lists this ribosomal RNA (492 nucleotides) under uncultured bacterium. RNAcentral's name for it is "partial 16S ribosomal RNA". It matches the Rfam family "Bacterial small subunit ribosomal RNA", at positions 29 to 507 of the family's 1533-position model. The record is from RNAcentral.